GUAGUCCACACUGUAAACGAUGGAUACUAGGUGUAGGAGGUAUCGACCCCUUCUGUGCCGCAGUUAACACAAUAAGUAUCCCACCUGGGGAGUACGGCCGCAAGGCUGAAACUCAAAGGAAUUGACGGGGGCCCGCACAAGCAGUGGAGUAUGUGGUUUAAUUCGAAGCAACGCGAAGAACCUUACCUGGGCUUGACAUCCCUAGAAUCCCCAAGAGAUUGGGGAGUGCCUUCGGGAACUAGGAGACAGGUGGUGCAUGGUUGUCGUCAGCUCGUGUCGUGAGAUGUUGGGUUAAGUCCCGCAACGAGCGCAACCCCUAUUGUUAGUUGCCAUCAUUAAGUUGGGCACUCUAGCGAGACUGCCGGUGAUAAAUCGGA
This 377-nucleotide ribosomal RNA is filed under the name uncultured bacterium. RNAcentral describes it as "bacterial SSU rRNA". It matches the Rfam family "Bacterial small subunit ribosomal RNA", at positions 790 to 1167 of the family's 1533-position model. The record is from RNAcentral.